Molecule: ribosomal RNA, 494 nt
Filed under: uncultured bacterium
Lineage: Bacteria
Description: partial 16S ribosomal RNA
Rfam family: Bacterial small subunit ribosomal RNA
Source: RNAcentral
UGGGGAAUAUUGGACAAUGGGGGCAACCCUGAUCCAGCCAUGCCGCGUGAGUGAUGAAGGCCUUCGGGUUGUAAAGCUCUUUUGGCGGGGACGAUGAUGACGGUACCCGCAGAAUAAGCCCCGGCUAACUUCGUGCCAGCAGCCGCGGUAAGACGAAGGGGGCUAGCGUUGUUCGGAAUUACUGGGCGUAAAGCGAGUGUAGGCGGUUGCCGUAGUCAGGUGUGAAAGCCUUGAGCUCAACUCAAGAAAUGCACUUGAUACUGGGUGACUAGAGGACCGGAGAGGAUAGUGGAAUUCCCAGUGUAGUGGUGAAAUACGUAGAGAUUGGGAAGAACACCAGUGGCGAAGGCGGCUAUCUGGACGGUUACUGACGCUAAGACUCGAAAGCGUGGGGAGCAAACAGGAUUAGAUACCCUGGUAGUCCACGCCGUAAACGAUGGGUGCUAGACGUUGGCGAGCUUGCUCGUCAGUGUCGCAGCUAACGCGUUAAGGCA